Molecule: long non-coding RNA, 310 nt
Filed under: Musa acuminata (dwarf banana)
Lineage: Eukaryota; Viridiplantae; Streptophyta; Magnoliopsida; Zingiberales; Musaceae
Description: long non-coding RNA (MACU_LNC005205)
Source: RNAcentral
UUAUCGUGCUUCAACAAACCCUGCCAAUCAAGACCACAUGAUUCAAGGUACUUUAAAGUUUAAAAAUCUGCAAGCUGUAGAUGAAGUGGAUAAAUAUAGGAAUAAAGCCAUAAAAGGUAAGGAUAUUGUGCGGGAGGAAAAUACAAAACCGAAGGAUAAGAAAAAGGAUGGUACAGUCCAUCCAAAGUCGUAGGAUUAAUACCUUACCACCUUUUCAUUUGUUUAUUACUGAUGAAGAUAACAUGUUGGAAUGUUCGCGGACUUAAUAAGCCGGAGAAAUGUCGGGAGCUCAACAGAAUAAUCAAUUCUG